Molecule: unclassified non-coding RNA, 904 nt
Filed under: Rhopalosiphum maidis (corn leaf aphid)
Lineage: Eukaryota; Metazoa; Arthropoda; Insecta; Hemiptera; Aphididae
Description: atherin-like, transcript variant X1
Source: RNAcentral
UUCGGUCCCGUCGACACAGCUCGUCCGCGCGGUCCGUCCGUCUCGCGCUCGUCACGUCAAGAUCACGCACACACGUAUAACACGUACCUAUACGUAUAACACCGGCACCGCCGCGGGCCGCAGAUCCGCUAGUGAGGACGAAUUUUUUUUCUUUUUCUUAAACCUCCCCACCGCGACGUUUGGAGAUUGACCGGCCGCCGAAGAUGCACUCGGAAAAACGUCCGCCGAGGUCGUUUUCCGCCGCACGUCCGCUGCACCGCUACGACCCGCGUCCGCCGGAAAACGUCGGAUCAUGUAAUCAUCGUUAUGGACAGUAAUGAUGCCAUCCCUAAAUCCCUAAAUACAGUGAAAUUGCAGAGGCUUUAUCAUUUUUGCAACACGAUUACGGACUGCCACUAUAUGAAAAAUAAUAAUAUUUCGUACCUACCCAAAACUGACACGAUUGUUGACGAAAUUAAGUGACACGUUAACAAUUGUUGCGACGAAAUCUACAGAGUCCAUUGAUUUUCAAUUUUGUCUUCCGGACGACGUCUCAAACGAACAUAUAUGUAUGUUGUAUUUCACGGACAACUUUGGAAUGGCUCAAGUUAUCAGAACAUAUUACAUUAUCAGCACUCGUAAUCAAAUCAGAAAAUCAAGAAAAUCGCCGUCCAAUGAAUAUGUUUUUAAAAAUAAACCAUUGCAUUUAUGUCACAAUAAAGAAUUAGAGAUUUCUUUUAAAUUUUCAUUUUAAUAUUAUGUUGUCACGAUUUCACUGAACCCGUGUAGUAUCGUGGAAACUGUCAAAAUCGAGUCAACCUACAUUCGACGAGCUUACGCUGUUUAUUCCAGCCGGAGAACGUGCUAACUGAAGUUACAUCAACAUCGACAAGACUAGAACAUGUCAAAAAAAAAAAAAAUAAUA